Molecule: long non-coding RNA, 1223 nt
Organism: Tarenaya hassleriana
Lineage: Eukaryota; Viridiplantae; Streptophyta; Magnoliopsida; Brassicales; Cleomaceae
Exons: 4
Source: RefSeq, a predicted model, not a curated record
AUGAUGCCCAUGGGCUUUUUUUUUGUUAAAGGUUGUAGAUGCCCAUGGGCUUUGGUUUCAGGGCCGAACAAUCGGAGAUACGAUGAAAACGCCGAUGUCCCUGACGGCGGCGCGUGAGCGCGUGGUACCAUCGCCGAAAGUCGAAGUCAGGAACGCUGGAAUCGAAUCUCCUACAGCUGAUCAGCAAGCGUCUGUCCGGCUCCCGGAGCAGACCGGGACAAGGCGAGGAAGGAGGCGAUAAGGAACGCGGCGAGGGCGUCGGAUCUGCUGGUGGAGGCAGUGAAUUGGUGAGCGAGAAGAGGAUAGAGGCGGUGACGAAUGACGAUUGCGCGAUUCAGGAAGCAUACCGAUCAGUGGUUGGCCGCUACUCGCGCCUUUAACACCGCCAUUAAGGAAAUAGGGGAUUUCGAGAACUGGAUGAAGACGAUGGAGUAUGACUGCCAGAAAAUCACUGAUUCGAUGCGCAAUAUUCACCAACAUCACUGAGAACAUUCCAUCCAGUUUCACAUAAUCAGAAACGCAUUCCUUGGAUUCAGUUCUCAGCCCACAAUAUUUUGAUUGAGUCUCAAUCCUUGGAGGGUAAAGCAUGCUUCGGAAGGAUUCCUACAUCAUUCCUGUUGAUGUUAUUCAGAUUAUAAGAAUAUUUCGGAUUUCAAUGGAAUUUCAAGAGAAUUCGAGGUAAGCUUGCAAUCGUUUUCUUUAGUAGACUUUGUGUUGUUAUGACGUCACUUCGUCAGUAGCACUAUCAACUCUGGGGAAAUGCCACCCCUAGUUGAUUCAUAAAUGACCUGGUGGCUACAAUCUAAAUCUUCCGUGACAAUGACAAGCCAGUUCAUCAAAGCCACCAGCUGAAUCUUACACUCGUUACAUGUCUUUGUCAAUCACAUUUAAAUUUUUUCAAGGUGAAACGGAUACAUAAAACAUCUAUCCAAACCUGAAUUCGAAUCUCAAAUUUGGGGAGGGAGUAUUUCAAAUCACAUGGCUAACCUCGAUUCCGAGAUUAGUUUGGGUUUUGGUCCAAAACACUCGUUUACCAAAAAAAAAAUCUCUCUCAUGGCCUAACUCUUUUGACAUACAGAGAUUUCCCCAACAAAAGAUCGUCAUCGUAACUUGUCUCUGUAGAAUGAAUUGUUAAAAUCUCGAAUUUCUGGAAAUUUUAUACUCCUGGGUUCAGUUUUCUAGUUUCUUCUUGGGGCAGUAUUAGUUCAGUUAACAAAACUUGA